GUUGGCUUGUUGCGCCGAGGACUCGGGUUCGAUACCUCACAUGGGCACAUUGUGUAAAGCCUAUUUUUGGUGUCCCCUGUCGUGAUAUUGCUGGAAUAUUGCAAUAAGCGGCG
This is a long non-coding RNA of Haliotis rubra (blacklip abalone), 113 nucleotides long. RefSeq lists it as uncharacterized. The record is from RefSeq and is a predicted model, not a curated record. The transcript has 3 exons. Lineage: Eukaryota; Metazoa; Mollusca; Gastropoda; Lepetellida; Haliotidae.